CGGCACUGGAGAGGGAAUGGACUUAGCUUUUUUGUCUAUGACGAUGUGUUCCUUCAGUGGGCUGCUUCCAACUUCCUCCGCUGCUGGAUGCAUAACAUCAUCUUCCAUAGUAUAUUCCCCGGUCCUCUAUCUGCUCCAUGCUGUCUGCAGUAAGAAGAUACCGAGUCCCAUUUGGGUUCCGGCUUGUCUGAUCCAAAAACAGAAGUGGAUUUACGCCCCCUAUGAGCUCUUUCCUCAGCAAUCUUUUUCCCUUGUAUGAGAACAAGUGUCUCUUGCCUAGUCCAUCGCGAGUGUCUUGGUGUCUUACUUUUGCCUUCUUCAGUCAUUUUCUGCUGCUGUCCAUCAGCUAACGUUGCAGCGUUCUCAUUCAUCUCUGUUGAGCCUAAUGUACUCAUUGAAGUUUUUCUGCAAAGGCCAAUCAAUCAAGAAGACAAUAUAAAGAUCUUUGUGGAUAGUCUUUACAUUACUUGGUUCUUUUUUUUACCAAGUUGAUUGGUGAUUGACUUCCAAAGAGAGGCAUGUAUUCUUUCUUUAGGCAAUUGAAUCUUAAAGUCUUUUCUUAA
Non-coding RNA from Solanum lycopersicum (tomato), 563 nucleotides. Lineage: Eukaryota; Viridiplantae; Streptophyta; Magnoliopsida; Solanales; Solanaceae. The record is from RefSeq and is a predicted model, not a curated record.